GAUGAAGAACGUAGCGAAAUGCGAUACUUGGUGUGAAUUGCAGAAUCCCGUGAACCAUCGAGUUUUUGAACGCAAGUUGCGCCCGAAGCCGUUAGGCUGAGGGCACGCCUGCCUGGGUGUCACUCAUCGCGUCGCCCCCCACAAAUUCUCCGUCAGGGGAGCUUGUGUUUCGGGGGCGGAUACUGGUCUCCCGUGCUCAUGGCGCGGUUGGCCGAAAUAGGAGUCCCUUCGAUGGACGCACGAACUAGUGGUGGUCGUAAAAGCCCUCGUCUUUUGUUUCGUGCCGUUAGUCGCGAGGGAAGCUCUUCAAAAACCCCAACGCGUCGUCUCUUGACGGCGCUUCGACCGCGACCCCAGGUCAGGCGGGACUACCCGCUGAGUUUAAGCAUAUCAAUAAGCGGAGGA
This 405-nucleotide unclassified non-coding RNA is filed under the name soil metagenome. RNAcentral's name for it is "partial contains 5.8S ribosomal RNA, internal transcribed spacer 2, and large subunit ribosomal RNA". The stretch from base 1 to 122 matches the Rfam family "5.8S ribosomal RNA", at positions 35 to 154 of the family's 154-position model. The record is from RNAcentral.